Acanthosepion pharaonis is the source of this 111-nucleotide non-coding RNA. The record is from the annotation of a GenBank genome assembly. NCBI's taxonomy places the organism in Eukaryota, Metazoa, Mollusca, Cephalopoda, Sepiida, Sepiidae.
UACGAUUACAUCACGUUGUAACGUCGGUUUCCGUACGACCACCGAAGUCAAGCAACGUCGAGCCUGGUCAGUACCUACAUGGGUGCCUACUUGGAAAUACCAGGGACUGUA